This 253-nucleotide ribosomal RNA is filed under the name uncultured bacterium. RNAcentral's name for it is "partial 16S ribosomal RNA". It matches the Rfam family "Bacterial small subunit ribosomal RNA", at positions 524 to 776 of the family's 1533-position model. The record is from RNAcentral.
UACGUAGGGUGCGAGCGUUGUCCGGAAUCAUUGGGCGUAAAGCGCGCGUAGGUGGCUUCGUAAGUCCGUUGUGAAAGUCAAAGGCUCAACCUUUGAAAGCCGAUGGAUACUGUGAAGCUAGAGUACGGAAGAGGCGAGUGGAAUUCCUGGUGUAGCGGUGGAAUGCGCAGAUAUCAGGAGGAACACCAAUAGCGAAGGCAGCUCGCUGGGACGUUACUGACACUGAGGCGCGAAAGCGUGGGGAGCGAACAGG